RNAcentral lists this ribosomal RNA (253 nucleotides) under uncultured bacterium. RNAcentral describes it as "partial 16S ribosomal RNA". It matches the Rfam family "Bacterial small subunit ribosomal RNA", at positions 524 to 776 of the family's 1533-position model. The record is from RNAcentral.
UACGUAGGGUGCAAGCGUUGUCCGGAAUUAUUGGGCGUAAAGAGCUUGUAGGCGGUUUGUCGCGUCUGCUGUGAAAUUUCGGGGCUCAACCCCGAACUUGCAGUGGGUACGGGCAGACUAGAGUGUGGUAGGGGAGACUGGAAUUCCUGGUAUAGCGGUGAAAUGCGCAGAUAUCAGGAGGAACACCGAUGGCGAAGGCAGGUCUCUGGGCCACUACUGACGCUGAGACGCGAAAGCGUGGGGAGCAAACAGG